RNAcentral lists this unclassified non-coding RNA (22 nucleotides) under Mus musculus (house mouse). Its description in RNAcentral is "oocyte_clustered_small_RNA7499". Lineage: Eukaryota; Metazoa; Chordata; Mammalia; Rodentia; Muridae. The record is from RNAcentral.
UAAUUUUAUGUCCAGUACUGCA